AGUGCAUGUGGUGGAUGCCUUGGCGAUCACAGGCGAUGAAGGACGCGGUAGCCUGCGAAAAGCUACGGGGAGCUGGCAAACGAGCUUUGAUCCGUAGAUGUCCGAAUGGGGAAACCCGGCCCUUUUGGGUCAUCCUAGACUGAAUACAUAGGUCUAGUGAGGCGAACGCGGUGAACUGAAACAUCUAAGUAACCGCAGGAAAAGAAAUCAACCGAGAUUCCCAAAGUAGUGGCGAGCGAAAUGGGAAGAGCCUGUACUCUUUAUUUGUAUUGUUAGCCGAACGCUCUGGAAAGUGCGGCCAUAGCAGGUGAUAGCCCUGUAGGCGAAAACAGUAUGAAAGAACUAGGUGUACGACAAGUAGGGCGGGACACGUGAAAUCCUGUCUGAAGAUGGGGGGACCAUCCUCCAAGGCUAAAUACUCGUGAUCGACCGAUAGUGAACCAGUACCGUGAGGGAAAGGCGAAAAGAACCCCGGGAGGGGAGUGAAAUAGAUCCUGAAACCGCAUGCAUACAAACAGUCGGAGCCUCUUCGGGGGUGACGGCGUACCUUUUGUAUAAUGGGUCAGCGACUUACGUUCAGUAGCAAGCUUAACCGAAUAGGGCAGGCGUAGCGAAAGCGAGUCCGAAUAGGGCGUUCAGUUGCUGGGCGUAGACCCGAAACCAGGUGAUCUAUCCAUGGCCAGGAUGAAGGUGCGGUAACACGUACUGGAGGUCCGAACCCACUAACGUUGAAAAGUUAGGGGAUGAGCUGUGGAUAGGGGUGAAAGGCUAAACAAACCUGGAAAUAGCUGGUUCUCUCCGAAAACUAUUUAGGUAGUGCCUCGUGUCUCACCUUCGGGGGUAGAGCACUGUCAUGGUUGGGGGGUCUAUUGCAGAUUACCCCGCCAUAGCAAACUCCGAAUACCGAAGAGUGCAAUCACGGGAGACAGACAUCGGGUGCUAACGUCCGGUGUCAAGAGGGAAACAACCCAGACCGCCAGCUAAGGUCCCCAAAUAUGGCUAAGUGGGAAACGAAGUGGGAAGGCUAAAACAGUCAGGAGGUUGGCUUAGAAGCAGCCACCCUUUAAAGAAAGCGUAAUAGCUCACUGAUCGAGUCGUCCUGCGCGGAAGAUGUAACGGGGCUAAGCUAUAUACCGAAGCUGCGGAUGCGAGCUUUGCUCGCAUGGUAGGAGAGCGUUCCGUAAGCCUGCGAAGGUGCGUUGAAAAGCGUGCUGGAGGUAUCGGAAGUGCGAAUGCUGACAUGAGUAGCGAUAAAGGGGGUGAAAGGCCCCCUCGCCGUAAGCCCAAGGUUUCCUACGCAACGUUCAUCGGCGUAGGGUGAGUCGGCCCCUAAGGCGAGGCAGAAAUGCGUAGCUGAUGGGAAGCAGGUCAAUAUUCCUGCACCAUUGUUAGAUGCGAUGGGGGGACGGAUCGCGGAAGGUUGUCCGGGUGUUGGAAGUCCCGGUCGCUGCAUUGGAGAAGGCGCUUAGGCAAAUCCGGGCGCAGGAUUCAAGGGUGUGGCGCGAGCUCCUUCGGGAGCGAAGCAAUUGGAAGUGGUUCCAAGAAAAGCCUCUAAGCUUCAGUCUAACGAUGACCGUACCGCAAACCGACACAGGUGGGCGAGAUGAGUAUUCUAAGGCGCUUGAGAGAACUCGGGAGAAGGAACUCGGCAAAUUGGUACCGUAACUUCGGGAUAAGGUACGCCCUGGUAGCUUGACUGGCCUGCGCCAGAAGGGUGAAGGGGUUGCAAUAAACUGGUGGCUGCGACUGUUUAAUAAAAACACAGCACUCUGCAAACACGAAAGUGGACGUAUAGGGUGUGACGCCUGCCCGGUGCCGGAAGAUUAAAUGAUGGGGUGCAAGCUCUUGAUUGAAGUCCCGGUAAACGGCGGCCGUAACUAUAACGGUCCUAAGGUAGCGAAAUUCCUUGUCGGGUAAGUUCCGACCUGCACGAAUGGCGUAACGAUGGCCACACUGUCUCCUCCCGAGACUCAGCGAAGUUGAAGUGUUUGUGAUGAUGCAAUCUACCCGCGGCUAGACGGAAAGACCCCAUGAACCUUUACUGUAGCUUUGCAUUGGACUUUGAACCGAUCUGUGUAGGAUAGGUGGGAGGCUAUGAAACCGGAACGCUAGUUUCGGUGGAGCCGUCCUUGAAAUACCACCCUGGUUUGUUUGAGGUUCUAACCUUGGCCCGUGAUCCGGGUCGGGGACAGUGCAUGGUAGGCAGUUUGACUGGGGCGGUCUCCUCCCAAAGCGUAACGGAGGAGUACGAAGGUACGCUAGGUACGGUCGGAAAUCGUGCUGAUAGUGCAAUGGCAUAAGCGUGCUUAACUGCGAGACCGACAAGUCGAGCAGGUGCGAAAGCAGGUCAUAGUGAUCCGGUGGUUCUGUAUGGAAGGGCCAUCGCUC
RNAcentral lists this ribosomal RNA (2388 nucleotides) under Burkholderia pseudomallei MSHR1950. RNAcentral describes it as "bacterial LSU rRNA". It matches the Rfam family "Bacterial large subunit ribosomal RNA", at positions 14 to 2450 of the family's 2925-position model. Lineage: Bacteria; Pseudomonadati; Pseudomonadota; Betaproteobacteria; Burkholderiales; Burkholderiaceae. The record is from RNAcentral.